CUCUGACCAGAGAAUACAAAUUACUUGUUUCAACUCCAAAAACUAAAUACAUUUACAAAAAAACCCACAAAAAUAAUAGUGAUUCUACAAGCCUGAUGUAAAUUACAAUAAUCCAUAUUCCGAAAGUAGCAUUGCUUUGCAACAUAGGUGACUACGGAAACAAGUAGGAAAAAGUAGAAAUAAGGGCAAGGAUGCAUGGGAGGAGCUCCAAAAGUCAAGGAUCAUUGCCAGGCAGCUUGCUUAGAACUAUAUGUUCUGGUUUAUGGUCACAUUCGAAAUCAAGAUGAACAAAUGCUCUCUCAACCUCGGUCAAUUUCUCAAUCUUAUUUUGCAAAGUCUCACCAAUAACAUGUGCUUCCUUUAGUGGCAGUUCUUCCGGGAGUUCAAUAUCUACCUGUAUCAAGGUAGCACAAACUGUUACAUGCUUAAAGAAAAGGAUGCGCUAAAACUUGUAACGAGUUCCAUAUAGCAUAACCAACCUCUACAAAAUAAAGAACACCAAAGGUGUAGGCUCGGAUCAUCUCAAUGCGCUGGACUAGAGGAUGCCUGAUAACAAGAUAUGUCAACUUCUGCAGGAAUUCAGGAGGUGCAGAUUGUCCAACAAGUGAAACUGCAUAAAAAGGUGCAUGAAUGGUUAGAAAACUUGGUGUAUUCAAGGAGGACUAUAUUGGUGAAGAAGGUACCUGCGUUUUCCACAACAGUUCCAGACCAAUUUAUAAUUGUGUAAACUGCAAGGAGGAUGGCACCUGCAGGGUCGAUCCACCAGUAGAACUUAUUGCCAAGAACGGCUGCAAUCAAUCCUACUAUAUUCGUUACUACAUCGAAAUAGUGAUCCUGAACAUUAGCAUUUGAUUUAGUUAGAACUGGUGACAACAAGUCCAGAACUAAAAGACACCAAGCUUUUUCAGUGACAAGGUCAGGAACAAAACCUUUGCAUAGGCACGGACAAUCUCAUUUCUUGAACUUCUGCAGUAUAACCAAAGGGCAAGCUUUACUGCCGUUGCACUUAGCAUUAUUGCAUAUAACCACAAUAACUGAUUAGAAGACAUUUUCUCAGUAGGUUUGUGUUGAAUUAGUUGUUCGACGGCCUGUAUCAAAAUCUGAAACCCUGUAAGGAAAUGAAUCAGAAUGACAAACCCUGUUCUAUGAAGAAAUCAAUUUGCCAUUCACAUUAGGUUAGUUUUUCUGUUCCUAGUUCUAGCUCCUUGUUUUGCCAAGUUAUCACUCACCAUGAAAUCAAACAUGUCAAGAUGCAAAAUUUCCACGUUACAAACAAAGUUGUAUCGAAAGAAACUAAAAGGAUAUAUAGAUUUGUUACGCAAAAGGAAUAAAAAAAGAAAAAUUUGCUAGUUGCAGCUGGUUAACAUACCAAGUGUAGCCAUGAUAGCAGCAAAGAUAACUAUCCCCACUGGCUGCACCCUCAAUUUUCCAAUAGGAUACUUGUAGAUAUUUAUUUUUUUCAUUGACAAGUGAGUGAACCAAAGAAUGCCACCAGCCAUAAGAUCAAGCAGAGAAUCCAGCGUCGACGCUGCUAUGGCCAAAGAUCCAGUCUUUAUAGUAGCAUAUAUCUGCACACUAUGCAUAUCUCCAUCUUUAACAAUUGGAAUAAGAGAUUGAUCACACAGGCCAAAACAAAUUUUUUAACAAAAUUAAGUGCAGAAAAAGAAGAAACUAAAACAUUUUGGAGUUUGAUUGACCUUGGAGAACCAAAUGGUGAUAAAACUACACCUUAAAUGCCAGCAAUACUAUGUUUGCAUAGUUAGAUAUCUUCAUAGCCUUUUCAUGUCGAGCUUGCUCUUCAUCAUCAUCCUCAUUGUCUUUGUCAUUUCCCAUUAGAAUAUCAACAUCCUCAAAGGAUUUCAGCGUAUCCAUUUGCUUUUCAUAAUAUUCCUUUUCCCCUGUAAGAAGAUUGAAACAACAAAACAUUCAAAAACUAGUGCAAAGAGUCAAAAAAGCUCUGUUCUUGGAUUGAAGAACUAGUGAGUAUGCAACCUUGAAUAAUUAUCACAUACCAAGGACCGAUUACCUUCUGUUAAGCCUGUUGUUUUGGAUAAAUUGAUCUGAUAAGGGGACUCAGUAUCCAGGCCAGAUCUUACCUUAUCAGGCAAUUUUGCCACAAAAUUAGACCUCAGCGAGUUCACUGAAUUCCUUCUACUCAGUCUCCUGCUUCUUCUUCCUUCACCCAUCAACAAUGGUGUUUUUGGGCCAGAACCUGAAUUCCCCUCCAUCUGGUUCCAAACAAUUGAUUCCAGUUCCAGCAGAAAUAUCUAUAAAUAUAGGUAUAUCUUUUGCUGAUAUUUUUGUACAAAGAGGCGGCAUGAAGAUGCUCGCCUUGAUGCUUAAAAACUAGGAUAUGAUGCUAUUAGUAGCUGUUGAUUUUUUUAGCGGUAUAUGCCUUCGCGAGUUUUGACUAUUGCAGAAUACUUUAGGAACAUACCCAGAAUGUCAAUUACUUGUGCAAGAUUUUUUCGCCCUUUUUUUUUUUUUUAGUUUAACGUGGGUGUCCGGACCAGCUUGCGCGUACCUCGAUUAAUCCCACGGGCCCUAAAAUUAACGACCAUGUAAGCCUCCAGUGACCAUCAUAUGAGCAACCACAGGGCUCGAACCUGAGAUCACAGAAUAAGCAAACCUCUUGGUCCAAACUCUUACCACUGGGCCACCAUCUAGAUGGUUUUUUUUUUUCAUUCUUUUUCCUGAUAAGAGGUCAUGGACCCCGAAAACAGUUCAUUUUUAUUUUCAUAUUUACCCUUUAAAGUCCAACAUCAAGUUUUACAUAAAAAAAAAUAUAGAAUAUUAAUUUAAUAUCGGUCCCUGCCCAUGUGAUUUAAAGAGAGAAAAAUAAAAGAACAUGCAACAUAAAAUUCUAUCGAAUUUAGUCACACCACAAACUUUUAAUCAAAGACUAGCUAAAAUAUUUGGCCUAGGAGAAAUUUUGGUAAAGAAUAUUAAUGACAAACCCAAACAAAAGUAGCUAUAAGAAAGUAGGCGUUCAAGUUCCACUACAAAGAUUGUACUUUUAUUGUUUGAGGAAAGUAACAAGAAGAAUGCAUAAAAUGGCACAGUGAAAGUGCUAGAAGAACCAUCAGCCAAAGCAUGUCAACCAAACAUGUAUAACAUCAACUUAACUAUUGUGGAUCAAACUAGCUGUCUGCCCUGUUUAAAACGCUACAAGUACCUCAUUAUACAAAAGUAGGGUUCCCUUGUUGUAUAGUCUUCAUUCAAUUCCUUAACUGGAUAAACUGAUUCACCAUGAAAGGGAAACACUGGAUCCCAGGUUUGUAACCUUUUACGAGACAAAUGAAACCAACGCCAACUCUGACUACGCAUUUGCACAUGAUGUUAUCUAUCUAUAUAUAGACCAAUGCUAACUGUUGGGUAACCUGCUGAGAACAGAGUGCUCUGGUUUGUGCUCACAUUCAAAAUCAAGAUGAACGAAUGCCCGCUCAACUUCUGGGAGUUUCUCAAUCUUGUUCUGCAAUGUCUCUCCAAUGGUGUGUGCUUCCUUUAGAGGCAGCUCUUCUGGAAGUUCAAUGUCAACCUGUUCCAAGACGUGAAAUAUAAUGAUAAAUUUUUAUUGGCUCAUUCUUAAACAACAGAAGUAGAGAUGAUUUAUAACUGAAUUGUUGCUUAAACAUGAAUCCUUUAUUUUUGUAUUGACAAUAAUUCUUCAAGUUUAUAACUUAAAAAAUUUCGACUGGAUACAGCAGCACUCUCUCCUUUUGGUCCCAUUAUUUUUUUUUCAUCCCUCCAUACAAAACCCUUUUCCCCUUCCAUUACAAAAAAAAUAAUUCUUUCACCAUCAUUAUUAAUUAUAGUUCAUUAGCAUAUGAAAAGUAUAAUUUAUAGUUAUUUAUCAAGUAAUAUCACUUACCAAACCCUAGGAUCCUAUUUGCAUGACCUACCCCAUAUUGCUUUUUUAUUGUACAAGAAGCCUAAUGUUGGCUUAAUUAGUCCUCUGAUUAACAGCAAAUUCAAAGGCUCUGUAACAGCCUCUGACCAGAGAAUACAAAUUACUUGUUUCAACUCCAAAAACUAAAUAAAUUUACAAAAAAACCCACAAAAAUAAUAGUGAUUCUACAAGCCUGAUGUAAAUUACAAUCAUCCAUACUCCGAAAGUAGCAUUGCUUUGCAACAUAGGUGACUACGGAAACAAGUAGGAAAAAGUAGAAAUAAGGGCAAGGAUGCAUGGGAGGAGCUCCAAAAGUCAAGGAUCAUUGCCAGGCAGCUUGCUUAGAACUAUAUGUUCUGGUUUAUGGUCACAUUCGAAAUCAAGAUGAACAAAUGCU
This 4286-nucleotide long non-coding RNA is filed under the name Populus trichocarpa (black cottonwood). RNAcentral describes it as "long non-coding RNA (PTRI_LNC000012)". Lineage: Eukaryota; Viridiplantae; Streptophyta; Magnoliopsida; Malpighiales; Salicaceae. The record is from RNAcentral.